Molecule: ribosomal RNA, 495 nt
Filed under: uncultured bacterium
Lineage: Bacteria
Description: bacterial SSU rRNA
Rfam family: Bacterial small subunit ribosomal RNA
Source: RNAcentral
AUCAUGGCUCAGGAUGAACGCUAGCGGCAGGCUUAACACAUGCAAGUCGAGGGGUAGAAGGAGCUUGCUCCUUUGAGACCGGCGCACGGGUGCGUAACGCGUAUGCAAUCUACCUUUUGCAGAGGGAUAGCCCAGAGAGAUUUGGGAUUAAAUACCUCAUAGUAUAGUACUUUGGCAUCAAGGAACUAUUAAAGUCACAACGGCAAAAGAUGAGCAUGCGUCCCAUUAGCUAGUUGGUAAGGUAACGGCUUACCAAGGCUACGAUGGGUAGGGGUCCUGAGAGGGAGAUCCCCCACACUGGUACUGAGACCACGGACCAGACUCCUACGGGAGGCAGCAGUGAGGAAUAUUGGACAAUGGGCGCAAGCCUGAACCAGCCAUGCCGCGUGCAGGAAGACGGUCCUAUGGAUUGUAAACUGCUUUUAUACAGGAAGAAACCCUCCCACGUGUGGGAGCUUGACGGUACUGUAGGAAUAAGGAUCGGCUAACUCCGUG